RNAcentral lists this ribosomal RNA (1605 nucleotides) under Phalacrocorax harrisi (Galapagos flightless cormorant). RNAcentral describes it as "Nannopterum harrisi (Galapagos flightless cormorant) 16S ribosomal RNA". It matches the Rfam family "Bacterial large subunit ribosomal RNA". The record is from RNAcentral. Lineage: Eukaryota; Metazoa; Chordata; Aves; Suliformes; Phalacrocoracidae.
AAGCCAGCUCUAGCCCAGCCAUAUCACAACCAAACAAGCCAAAACCGACUCCACUACUAAACUAAAACAUUCUCCUGUCUUAGUAUGGGCGACAGAAAAGACACCCCUGGCGCGAUAGAGAUCACGUACCGUAAGGGAAAGUUGAAAUAACAAUGAAAAACAAAGCAACAAACAGCAAAGAUAAACCCUUGUACCUCUCGCAUCAUGAUUUAGCAAGAACAACCAAGCAAAACGAACUUAAGCUUGCCCCCCCGAAACUCAUGCGAGCUACUUACAGGCAGCUGCCCGAGCGAACCCGUCUCUGUGACAAAAGAGUGGGAUGACCUGUUAGUAGAGGUGAAAAGCCAAUCGAGCUGAGUGAUAGCUGGUUGCCUGUGAAACGAAUCUAAGUUCCCUCUUGACACCCCCUUCCCCACGGACAACCCCACCUAGCCCCCAUGUAGCUAAGCCAAGAGCAAUUUAAAGGGGGUACAGCCCCUUUAAAAAAGAGAACAGCCUCCCAUAGAGGAUAACUUAACCAUCCGCUAACCAUCCAAACUGUAGGCCCUUAAGCAGCCACCAACAAAGAGUGCGUCAAAGCUCCCAACCUAAAAAAUCUAAAAACAACACGACUCCCUCAUCUCCAACAGGCUAACCUAUGCAGAUAGGAGCACCAAUGCUAAAAUGAGUAACUAAGGGGGGCCCCCCCUCUUAAGCGCAAACUUACAUCCCACAUUAUUAACGGACCACAACCAAUACCACAGACCCACACAAGACCCCAUAUUUUACCCCCCCCGUUAAUCCAACCCAGGAGCGCCCAACUAGAAAGAUUAAAAUCUGUAAAAGGAACUAGGCAAACCCAGGACCCGACUGUUUACCAAAAACAUAGCCUUCAGCAAGCCAAGUAUUGAAGGUGAAGCCUGCCCAGUGACACCANGUUCAACGGCCGCNGUAUCCUAACCGUGCAAAGGUAGCGCAAUCAAUUGUCCCAUAAAUGGGGACCGGUAUGAAUGGCUAAACGAGGCCCCAACUGUCUCUUACAGAUAAUCAGUGAAAUUGAUCUCCCUGUGCAAAAGCAGGAAUAAACACAUAAGACGAGAAGACCCUGUGGAACUUAAAAAUCAGCAGCCNCCCGACACAAAAUCAAACCUAUCAGGCCCAUUACAACCAGACACUGGCCUGCAUUUUUCGGUUGGGGCGACCUUGGAGAAAAACAAAUCCUCCAAAAACAAGACAUCCCCUCUUAACCAAGAGCAACCUCUCAAAGUACUAACAGUAACCAGACCCAAUACAAUUGACCAAUGGACCAAGCUACCCCAGGGAUAACAGCGCAAUCCCCUUCAAGAGCCCAUAUCGACAAGGGGGUUUACGACCUCGAUGUUGGAUCAGGACAUCCUAAUGGUGUAGCAGCUAUUAAGGGUUCGUUUGUUCAACGAUUAACAGUCCUACGUGAUCUGAGUUCAGACCGGAGCAAUCCAGGUCGGUUUCUAUCUAUGCACGAACUUCUCCCAGUACGAAAGGACCGGAAAAGUGGGGCCAAUGCUUUAAACAUGCCCCCCCCACAAGUAAUGAACCCAACUAAAUUACAAAAGGCCGCACAUCAGCCCUAAUCCCAGAAAAGGAUCG